RNAcentral lists this microRNA precursor (64 nucleotides) under Danaus chrysippus (African queen). Its description in RNAcentral is "mir-2 microRNA precursor family". It matches the Rfam family "mir-2 microRNA precursor family". Rfam says of the family: The miRNAs are transcribed as ~70nt precursors (modelled here) and subsequently processed by the Dicer enzyme to give a ~22nt product. In this case the mature sequence comes from the 3' arm of the precursor. RNAcentral also lists the same sequence under 1 other name. Lineage: Eukaryota; Metazoa; Arthropoda; Insecta; Lepidoptera; Nymphalidae. The record is from Rfam by way of RNAcentral.
CCAUUCGUAAAAAUGACUGUGUAAUGUUGUAUAGUCAUAUCACAGCCAUUUUUGACGAGUUGGG